UACGAAGGGGGCUAGCGUUGUUCGGAAUCACUGGGCGUAAAGCGCACGUAGGCGGCUUUCUAAGUCAGGGGUGAAAUCCUGGAGCUCAACUCCAGAACUGCCUUUGAUACUGGAGAGCUUGAGUCCGGAAGAGGUGAGUGGAACUCCGAGUGUAGAGGUGAAAUUCGUAGAUAUUCGGAAGAACACCAGUGGCGAAGGCGGCUCACUGGUCCGGUACUGACGCUGAUGUGCGAAAGCGUGGGGAGCAAACAGG
Molecule: ribosomal RNA, 253 nt
Filed under: uncultured bacterium
Lineage: Bacteria
Description: partial 16S ribosomal RNA
Rfam family: Bacterial small subunit ribosomal RNA
Source: RNAcentral